RNAcentral lists this ribosomal RNA (245 nucleotides) under uncultured bacterium. RNAcentral's name for it is "partial small subunit ribosomal RNA". It matches the Rfam family "Bacterial small subunit ribosomal RNA", at positions 26 to 285 of the family's 1533-position model. The record is from RNAcentral.
AGAAUCAACGCUGGCGGCGUGCCUAACACAUGCAAGUCGAUCGAGAAAGUGGAGCAAUCCAUGAGUAAAGAGGCGCACGGGUGAGUAACACGUGACUAACCUACCUUCGAGUGGGGAAUAAACCUGGGGAAACCCGGGCUAAUACCGCAUAAUACCUACGGGUCAAAGGAGCAAUUCGCUUGAAGAGGGGUCGCGGCAGAUUAGUUAGUUGGCGGGGUAAUGGCCCACCAAGACGAUGAUCUGUA